CCUACGGGAGGCAGCAGUGAGGAAUAUUGGACAAUGGAGGCAACUCUGAUCCAGCCAUGCCGCGUGCAGGAAGACUGCCCUAUGGGUUGUAAACUGCUUUUAUACAGGAAGAAACCUACUUACGUGUAAACAGCUGACGGUACUGUAAGAAUAAGGAUCGGCUAACUCCGUGCCAGCAGCCGCGGUAAUA
This 190-nucleotide ribosomal RNA is filed under the name uncultured marine bacterium SNR1. Its description in RNAcentral is "partial 16S rRNA". It matches the Rfam family "Bacterial small subunit ribosomal RNA", at positions 338 to 525 of the family's 1533-position model. The record is from RNAcentral.